GACGAACGCUGGCGGCGUGCUUAACACAUGCAAGUCGAGCGGUAAGGCCCUUUCGGGGGUACGACGAGCGGCGAACGGGUGAGUAACACGUGGGUGACCUGCCCUCAGCUCUGGGAUAAGCCUGGGAAACCGGGUCUAAUACUGGAUAUGACUCCAUGACGCAUGUUGUGGGGUGGAAAGCCUUGUGCGGCUGAGGAUGGGCCCGCGGCCUAUCAGCUUGUUGGUGGGGUGANGGCCUACCAAGGCGACGACGGGUAGCCGGCCUGAGAGGGCGACCGGCCACACUGGGACUGAGACACGGCCCAGACUCCUACGGGAGGCAGCAGUGGGGAAUCUUGCGCAAUGGGCGAAAGCCUGACGCAGCGACGCCGCGUGAGGGAUGACGGCCUGGUGUAACUCUU
RNAcentral lists this ribosomal RNA (401 nucleotides) under uncultured bacterium. Its description in RNAcentral is "bacterial SSU rRNA". It matches the Rfam family "Bacterial small subunit ribosomal RNA", at positions 28 to 433 of the family's 1533-position model. The record is from RNAcentral.